GAUUUCGGGUGGGUGUUAGCGGUCCGGCUCUGCUGUGUACUGCUAAUGCCUACCUUUCUGUCGGGGACGGGCUCUUGGGCUUAACUGUCCGGGACUCGGAGUCGGCGAGGUUACUUUGAGUAAAUUAGAGUGUUCAAAGCAGGCGUUCGCUAUGAAUACAUUAGCAUGGAAUAACAUGAUAGGACUCUGGCUUAUCUUGUUGGUCUGUAAGACCGGAGUAAUGAUUAAGAGGGACAGUCGGGGGCAUUCGUAUUUCAUUGUCAGAGGUGAAAUUCUUGGAUUUAUGAAAGACGAACUUCUGCGAAAGCAUU
RNAcentral lists this ribosomal RNA (311 nucleotides) under uncultured Cercomonas. RNAcentral's name for it is "SSU rRNA". The stretch from base 111 to 311 matches the Rfam family "Eukaryotic small subunit ribosomal RNA", at positions 752 to 955 of the family's 1831-position model. The record is from RNAcentral. Lineage: Eukaryota; Cercozoa; Cercomonadida; Cercomonadidae.